GGAAUCGCCCAGCUGUCCCCUCAGACGGCAGCCCGUGGCCGUCCCCUUCGCCGUGGGAUGCGGGGAUUUGGGGCGGCUGAAGGAGUUGGGGCGGCUGAAGGAGUCGGGGCCCCCAGCACUGUAGCGCUGCUGCCCUCACAGGGGCCGGGCCCCCCCCGAGCCUCCAGUGCUUGUUGAGGUUUCAGUCUCCAUUCUGCUGAUCCGAAAGAAAGAAGGCGGCUUUUGGAGGACUUGAUCAUCGCGAGUCGAGCUGCUGCUGAACCUCCCCUUCCAACAUCCAGCAGGUUUGUUCUGCAGGCCCCGAUGAUGGCACAGGCAUGAAAGAGCCCAGAGCUCGUCGCUGGGGAGAGGCUGCGUAUGGCGUUGUGAAGGGAGAGAUGGAGGAGGGGUUUGAGCAGCGCUGUGCAGGAAUGAACGGCUGGUAAGAGAAGAGCUGACUUGGAUUUCUUCUGCCACUGUCCCGUGAAGGAGUUGAUUUACUUCAGUCCAUCCCUGCUCUCUUUGUGGUUCAAGCCAUGCUCCAAUCCCUCCCCCGGUCUCAGUGGGAUCAGUUUGUUCUGUUCUCAUCCACUUACAGAAACAGAAGCUACCAACCCACCAAACCCUGGGACAGGUAUUUCCCUACAGAAGCAUUCAUGUCCUUCUCCUGGACCCUUCAGCCAGUUCCCAGCUCUCCAAACUGAGGCGUACGGCUGCAGCCUGCCCCAUGGCUUCCUUGGGUUAGCUGUGGCACAGCCUCACCCCGAGAAGGAGAUGCCUUUCCCCACAUGCAGCUGGUUCUACGAACACAUGGGACAUCCUUAACCUCUUCAGCCCCCUCCGCCCCGGCUUCUCGGACUCCCACAGUUUCUGAGAGGACCGCCAUCACCAUCCCAGGAUCCCCAUAUCCCACCGACGAGGAACCCCACAGCACAACACAUCUCAGGAUGGGGCUCCAGCUGUGCCCCGAUGCGUUCAUUCAAGAGAGGAGAAUGAAUGAGCGUAAGGGGGCGACUUUCCUUCUGACAUUGCCCACCACCUGCGUGUUGGCUGUGCCGUGCCAGCAGCAUUUUGUCCUCGAGCUGUGAGUGCAGGUAUGCGUGCAUACGGGGGUGUGCAGAGAUGGUGCUGAACAUCCGAGCGUGCAUUGCACGUGGCUGUGUGCACGGUGCUUGCAGGUGAAAGUUUUGCAUGUGUGCGCAUGCACAUGGCUGUGUGCAAGGCCAGAGCAGCGCUCGUGUCGUCGUGCACGUGGGUGUGCAAAGGGAUGGAGUGCACGCAUGUGUAUGUAUGCAUGAACACGGGAGAGUGCAUCAAGGUCUUUGCACAAGGCCAUUUGUUUUAUCACACUUUUGCGUGUACAUGAAUGGAGUACGCACACAGGGCUGUGCAAGGAUGCGAUUCCACGUGUGUGUGAAUGCACAGGUGUGUGUGCAGGGAAAUCUUUGCACUUGGGUGUAUGGUUCUGCACACAUCCCUGCACACAGAUGCGCGUGCAAGGGAGCAGCGGAGGCUCCUGGGAACAGGAGAUUGCUGGGAGCGGCAGAACUCCCGUGAGAGUGCUGGAGAGCACAGGGCCGGGAAGCACAGCUCCGCAGCACUGCGCUCUGCACAACAGCCUGCAGGACGGCACGGAGCGCUGACAGAACCAGGACACAGCGCCAUAGCAGGCACUGCAAAGGAAACAGCUCCAUCCCAGCCACAACAGUGACAGGCAGGCAGGCACUGGGGAGGGCUGCACGGCAGAGGGACGCCCUCUGAGUGCCACAACCUGGAGCGCUGUCUGCAAGCAGAACAGUGCCAGGAUGGCAGCCUGGUGGUCCUAAGCUGCAGAGAUGCUGCUCUGGACCAACAGCCUGUCAUUUUUUCAGAAAACGCCGUCCUUUUGCUGAACUUUGCUCAUUGUACACCCGUCAUCACAGCAAAAAACGCUCAGUGCUGCCCUGGGAAACUCAGCAAUCUCCACAGCAUUGCUCUCCAAGUUAGCACGCUCAUGGCCAGGCUUUGUUCCCAGCAGCUCUUUGCACGUGCUUUGCAGACAGUCUGUUUGUGGGCAGUGCAAAGGACUGCUGCAUCCAUUGCAUCACUGGACGGCAGCAUUUGCUGACGGAGCUAUGGCAGUUCUGAGCGAGCGCCGCGAGACCAAUAACGAGGAGGUGGUGCAGCAGCUCUCCGAGUGCCGCUGGACAAAUCAGGCCGUGCGCUCUUUGUGAAUCUAUAAAUUUGACUGGUGUUUAAUGACUACGUUUGAAGGUGGAGUGCUGAGAUGGGCGGCACUCAGUGCUGCCCUGUAACGCCGCGCACUGCAGAAGCUGCUUCCUGCUUAUGCUCCUCCUCUCAGUCCUUCAGCUGCAGCUUCUGCAUCAUCUCCACAAGGCUGUCCACUGCGGAGGCCUGGGAAGAAACGGAGUGAGGGUAGAAACAGGACACCACUUCCCUCGGGAUUUUACAGUCUCUUCCUUUCAUGUGUGACAGACAGAGGCCCUGAGAACAACAAGAGCCGUGUCUGUGUUCACCAAGGACUCACCUCUGCACGUGCAGCAGCAGCUCUGAGGGCAGCCUUCUUCAGCUCCACUCUCCUCUCUUUCUGUCGCUGUCUUCUUGCUAUAA
Molecule: long non-coding RNA, 2589 nt
Organism: Gallus gallus (chicken)
Lineage: Eukaryota; Metazoa; Chordata; Aves; Galliformes; Phasianidae
Exons: 5
Source: RefSeq, a predicted model, not a curated record